GGGACUUAGCUCAGUUGGUAGAGCACCUGCUUUGCAAGCAGGGGGUCAGGGGUUCGAACCCCCUAGUCUCC
Molecule: transfer RNA, 71 nt
Filed under: marine eukaryotic metagenome
Rfam family: tRNA
About the family: Transfer RNA (tRNA) molecules are approximately 80 nucleotides in length. Their secondary structure includes four short double-helical elements and three loops (D, anti-codon, and T loops).
Source: RNAcentral